This 186-nucleotide unclassified non-coding RNA is filed under the name soil metagenome. RNAcentral describes it as "partial internal transcribed spacer 1". The record is from RNAcentral.
CCGAGUGAGGGUUCCUUGCGAGCCCAACCUCCCACCCGUGUUUAACUAUACCGUGUUGCUUCGGCGGGCCCACUGGGGCCCGUUCCUGGUCGCCUGGGGGCGUGAAACCCCCCGGGCCCGUGCCCGCCGGAGACCCCUUGAACCCUGAGUGAAUCGAGUGUCGUCUGAGUUUGAGUUAAAUCAUUA